Molecule: transfer RNA, 85 nt
Filed under: Felis catus (domestic cat)
Lineage: Eukaryota; Metazoa; Chordata; Mammalia; Carnivora; Felidae
Rfam family: tRNA
About the family: Transfer RNA (tRNA) molecules are approximately 80 nucleotides in length.
Source: Rfam by way of RNAcentral
GCCUGGGUGGCUCAGUCGGUUAAGCGUCCGACUUCGGCUCGGGUCAUGAUCUUAUGGUUCGUGGGUUCGAGCCCCGCAUCGGGCU